Molecule: RNA transcript, 3358 nt
Organism: Pan troglodytes (chimpanzee)
Lineage: Eukaryota; Metazoa; Chordata; Mammalia; Primates; Hominidae
Gene name: olfactory receptor 7E24-like
Exons: 2
Source: RefSeq, a predicted model, not a curated record
AACUGAGCCGGGCCAAGAGAGAAGACCAGCUCUGGCUAAGCCAUGGCCAAGAGUACAGGCAGAAGACAACCCUCCGGGAUUGGCCAGUUAAGACUGGGGCAGAGCCGGUGAGGCAAAAACAGGAGCCGGUCCCCAGAGGUGCCCUUCAAGGUAUCCAGGUCUGUCUCAAGCACCUAAGAACUUAUGGAAUUAUUGUUCCUUGUCAGUCUCCAUGGAACACUCCCCUCCUGCCUGUUCCCAAGCCACGGACCAAGGACUACCGGCUGGUACAGGAUUUGCGCUUGCUUCAUCAAGCUACACUGACUUUACAUCCAACAGUACCUAACCCGUCCACAUUGUUGGGGUUGCUGCCAGCUGAGAACAGCUGGUUCACCUGCUUGGACCUGAAAGACACUUUCUUUCCUAUCAGAUUAGCCCCUGAGAGGCAGAAGCUGUUUGCCUUUCAGUGGGAAGAUCCGGAGUCAGUUGUCACUACUCAGUACACUUGGACCGGGCUUCCCCAAGGGUUCAAGAACUCCCCCACCAUCUUCGGGGAGGCGUUGGCUCGAGACCUCCAGAAGUUUCCCAGCAGAGGCCUAGGCUGCGUGUUGCUCCAGUAGGUUGAUGACCUUCUGCUGGGACACCCCACGGCAGUCGGGUGUGCCAAGGGAACAGAUGCCCUACACCGGCACCUGGAGGACUGUGGGUAGAAGGUGUCCAAGAAGAAAGCUCAGAUCUGCCAACAGCAGGUACGUUACUUGGGAUUGACUAUCCGACAGGGGUCAGAACGCAGCCCGGGAUCAGAAAGAAAGCAGGUCAUUUGCAAUCUAGCAGAACCUAAGAGCAGAAGGCAGGUGAGAGAAUUCUUAGGAGCUGUGGGGUUUUGUAGACUGUGGAUCCCAAACUUUGCAGUAUUAUCCAAGCCUUUGUAUGAGGUCACAAAGGGGGUGGGGACCGGGAAACUUUGGAAAUGUGGAUCCCAACAACAGCAAGUCUUUCAUGAGUUAAAGGAAAAACUUCUGGCAGCCCCAGCUCUGGGGCUACCUGAUCUGACAAAGCCUUUUCCAUUCUAUGCAUCAGAGAGAGAAAAGAUGGCAGCUGGACUUUGAACCCAAACUGUGGGGGCCUGACCAAGGCUGGUGGCCUACCCCUCUAAACAACUAGAUGGGGUUUCUAAAGGAUGGCCCCCCUGUUUGAGGGCCUUGGCAGCAACUGCCCUGCCAGUACAAGAAGCAAAUAAGCUGACUCUUGGUAAAAACCUGGACAUAAAGGCCUCCCGUGCUGUGGUGACUUUAAUGAAUACUAAAGGACAUCAUUGGCUAACGAAUGCCAGACUCACCAAGUACCAAACUGCUCUGCAAAAAUCCCCGUAUAACCAUUGAAGUUUGCAACACCCUACACCCCGCCACCUUGCUCCCAGUAUCAGAGAGCCGUGUCGAGCCUGAUUGUGUAGAAGUGUUGGACUCAAUUGACUCUAGCAGACCUGACCUCCGGGACCAGCCUUGGGCAUCAGUAGAUUGGGAACUAUACGUGGAUGGGAGCAGCUUCUUCAACCCCCAAGGAGAGAGAGGUGCAGGGCAUGCAGUGGUAACCCUGGACACUGUUGUUGAAGCCAGAUCGUUGCCCCAGGCCACUUCAGCCCAGAAAGCUGAACUCAUUGCUUUAAUUCGUGCCUUAGAACUCAGCGAGGGUGAGACUGUAAACAUUUACACUGAAUCUAGGUAUGUCUUUUUAACCCUUCAAGUGCAUGGAGCAUGAUAGAAAAAAAAGGUCCUGUUGAACUCUGGGGGAAAAGACAGAAAAUAUCAACAAGAAAUCUUGCAAUGAUUAGAAGCAGUAUGGAAACCCCACAAGGUGGCAGUUAUGCAUUGCAGAGGACACCAGCGAGCUUCCACCUUGCUGGGUUUGGGGAAUCCCCGCGCUGACUCAGAGGCUCGAAAAGCAGCAUAUGCCCCCUUCUGGGCAUCAGUGUUCCCUCAAGCACCUGAUCUUGGACCUGCUUCUUCUAAAGAAGAAAAGGACUUUCUCCAGGUAGAGGGAAGGACAAGUGAUGAAGGAAGGAUGGAUUCAGUUACCAGAUGGGAGAGUAGCUGUGCCACAGCUGCUAGGAGCUGCAGUUGUACUGGCUGUGCAAGAAACCACCCAUCAAGGUCAACUGUCAUUGGAAAAGUUGUUAGGCUGGUAUUUCUACAUCUCGCGUUUCUCAGCCCUUGCCAAAACGGUGAGGCAGCGGUGUGUUACCUGCCGACAGCAUGAUGCGAGGCAAGAUCCAGCCGUUCCGCCCGGCAUACGAGCUUAUGGAGCAGCCCUCUUUGAAGGUCUCCAGGUGGACUUCACAGAGAUGCCAAAGUGUGGAGGCGUCCAAGUCACACAGAGCCACGGAAUCUCACAGGUGUCUGAGAAUUCCUCCUCCUGGGAAUCUCAGAGGAUCCAGAACUGCAGCCCGUCCUCGCUGGGCUGUCCCUGUCCAUGUACCCGGUCAUGGUGCUGAGGAACCUGCUCAUCAUCCUGGCUGUCAGCUUUGACUCCCACCUCCACACCUCCAUGUACUUCGUCCUCUCCAACCUGCGCUGGAUUGACAUCGGUUUCACCUCGGCCACGGUUCCCAAGAUGAUUGUGGACAUGCAGUCGCAUAGCAGAGUCAUCUCUUAUGCGGGCUGCCUGACACAGAUGUCUUUCUUGGUCCUUUUUGCAUGUAUAGAAGACAUGCUCCUGACUGUGAUGGCCUAUGACCAAUUUUUGGCCAUCUGUCACCCCCUGCACUACCCAGUCAUCGUGAAUCCUCACCACUGUGUCUUCUUAGUUUUGGUGUCCUUUUUCCUUAGCCUGUUGGAUUCCCAGCUGCACAGUUGGAUUGUGUUACAAUUCACCUUCUUCAAGAAUGUGGAAAUCUCUAAUUUUGUCUGUGAGCCAUCUCAGCUUCUCAACCUUGCCUGUUCUGACGGCGUCAUCAAUAGCAUAUUCAUAUAUUUAGAUAGUAUUAUGUUUGGUUUUCUUCCCAUUUCAGGGAUCCUUUUGUCUUACUGUAAAAUCGUCCCCUCCAUUCUAAGGAUGUCACCAUCAGAUGGGAAGUAUAAAGGCUUCUCCACCUGUGGCUCUCACCUGGCAGUUGUUUGCUUAUUUUACGGAACAGGCAUUGGCAUGUACCUGACUUCAGCUGUGUCACCACCUCCCAGCAAUGGUGUGGUGGCUUCAGUGAUGUACGCUGUGGUCACCCCCAUGCUGAACCCUUUCAUCUGCAGCCUGAGAAACAGGGACAUUCAAAGUGCCCCGUGGAGGCUGCGCAGCACAACAGUUGAAUCUCAUGAUCUCUUCCAUCCUUUUUCUUGUGUCUGUAAGGAAGGGCAACCACAUUAAAUCCCUACAUCUGCAAAUCCUG